Molecule: long non-coding RNA, 874 nt
Organism: Solanum lycopersicum (tomato)
Lineage: Eukaryota; Viridiplantae; Streptophyta; Magnoliopsida; Solanales; Solanaceae
Source: RefSeq, a predicted model, not a curated record
UAUCUCAAAUUCCGCACAACACCAACAAUUGAUAUCAAAGCAAGUACUCCCUAUACAGUUAACACCUACAGACUGGAUAAACAAUGGGACCGGGUCAUUUCAUUAGAGACUGUCCAAUGGACAAGAUUGAAUACAAGGACUACAUUAAAAAUGGUGGUGACAAGGGUAAACGAUGGGAUUGGGUCCAAAAGAAGCUGCUGCUGAUUACCUUGUCAAGCUCUUGCUGCUCGGGGGGACUCAUCGAGUAGAUCUGAGGAAUUGGAGCACUCAGAAGAUGCAUCAAUGAUGGCAGGAGAGGAUAAUGAUAAUGCUUUCAGUUCACUCUUCGUUCUCGUUGCAAAGUGAGCAGAUGAUGACAAUGAAAAGGAUUUGCGAAUGAAUGUUGGGCUGGGCCACCUCGAAUGACGUGGGCCGCAUGAAGGGAGACCAGCACUUAUGGUUUUUAGGCGAAUCUAGUCGAAAAAUCGGUCGGCGCCCACCUGACUAGAGGGACUGAGAAAUUAAUUGAGUACAAAACUUAUCUUCAAGCUUUACCUUAUUCUGAUCAUUCAGAGGGCAAUCGCGGGGUCACUGAAUAAAGUCCUCCGUUUCUUUAGGAGGUUCUGACCCGCAGCGAGGCAGAGAUGACUAAGUGACAUAUGGAAUAUGGCGACGACAACAACAUGUCGUAGAAGGAGAUAACAGGUGGAGCCAACGACCCACUAAGACUAACCUAUCUACAACUACAUCCCCGAGCGGCAGUCAAACGUUCCAAACUUAAACUUUUUUCAUGGUGAAAUAAAUUUGACGAUGCCACAAACAAAAAUGGCAAGAAAUUAUAUUUUCAAUUAUCAAAUUCUACAUUCGCAACAAAUAAUUUUAGCGUUCUAAUCCA